This 30-nucleotide non-coding RNA is filed under the name Homo sapiens (human). The record is from RNAcentral. Lineage: Eukaryota; Metazoa; Chordata; Mammalia; Primates; Hominidae.
UACUGUGGAAUCAAUGAAGAGCAGAAAGGA